Long non-coding RNA from Harpia harpyja (harpy eagle), 386 nucleotides. RefSeq lists it as uncharacterized. Lineage: Eukaryota; Metazoa; Chordata; Aves; Accipitriformes; Accipitridae. The transcript is spliced from 3 exons. The record is from RefSeq and is a predicted model, not a curated record.
UAUGUUUCUAAUGUGCGUGUCAAAUAAUUACCUGUUAAACAGACUGCCAAUCUGGAUGAAGCCAAUGCUUCCAAAGAAGAUGAAAUAAAAGCUUUGGUGAUACAGUCCUGCCAUGAAUACGAUCCAAUCAAUUCCAUGAAGAAACCCUUGGGUCCACCUCCACCAUCAUAUACUUGCUUUCGUUGCGGGAAACCUGGCCACUACAUAAAGAACUGCCUGACAAAUGGGGACAAAAAUUUUGAGUCUGUUCCCAGAAUUAAAAAGAGCACAGGAAUUCCACAGAGUUUCAUGAUAGAGAUGAAAGAUGCCAAUACAAAGGGUGCUAUGCUGACAAGCUCUGGAAAAUAUGCAAUGCCAACUAUUAAUGCGUAAGUAAGGAACUAAGU